RNAcentral lists this ribosomal RNA (90 nucleotides) under Exiguobacterium sp. SH1S21. RNAcentral describes it as "partial 23S ribosomal RNA". It matches the Rfam family "Bacterial large subunit ribosomal RNA", at positions 2835 to 2925 of the family's 2925-position model. The record is from RNAcentral. RNAcentral also lists the same sequence under 2 other names. Lineage: Bacteria; Bacillati; Bacillota; Bacilli; Caryophanales.
CCCUCAGAGACGAUGAGGUAGAUAGGUCAUGGGUGGAAGCACGGCGACGUGUGGAGCUGAAUGAUACUAAUCGGUCGAGGCUUUGAUCUA